Mytilus californianus (California mussel) is the source of this 949-nucleotide long non-coding RNA. RefSeq lists it as uncharacterized. Lineage: Eukaryota; Metazoa; Mollusca; Bivalvia; Mytilida; Mytilidae. The record is from RefSeq and is a predicted model, not a curated record. The transcript is spliced from 3 exons.
UUUCUUUUGAGGCAGACUUCAUGUAUGUACAGGAGCUUCUAAGGAGGAAUUGAAAAGAAGAUUGCAUUCGAUCGAUCUCCUUAACUUGCUAUAAAGAUGAUUUCCUUUUAUUGAAUAAUUCAAAGUAUGGUGACUUUGUUGAACGCAUGUAUCCCAUUGAACUUGAAAUAAAGGAUACAACAGAUACAGGUGAAUCCUUGCUGGGUCAUUGAAAAACCUACUGGAAGUUCUUCUGAUACUGGAAAUUGAAAACAAAUGGUCAUUUUUGGAAGAAAAUUGAUAGAGGAAGGAUACAGAUAUACAAGAAUUUCAUAUUUGAAAUGCUUUUAAUAUUUCUUUUGUAUAUGACCACCAAAUUUUGGCAGUCAAAUAAGGCCAAUUGAAAUUAAUUGAUAGAUUUUUAUCCCGCCCAACUCUCUGAAAUCGUCCCGCCCCGAUUUUUUUAAUUUUUAAAAAUAUACGAUUUCCGGAUUUUGUUCAUUUCUGUUACCGGUAACCGCCGAUAAUUUCGUUUCAUUUAAACUUCCUUUUUCAAAUUUCGGUUUUCGUAUUUCUUCGAGUAAUAUAGGUCGACAUAUUCUUCUGCUCAAUGAUGACAACAUUAUCUUUUGAGAAUAUAGAUUGAUUACUAGAAGGACAUAAAUUAUUCGGGUUACAAGUAAUUGGCGGUGUCCAAUAACCGUAAUCGCGGUAUGUCACAAAUUUCAGUGAAUAUAAAACCGUGAAUUAUUUUAUUUAUACAAUGACAUUGUGUAAGGAAAUUUAGACUGAAUGAUAUCCAAAGCGCAAAAAUCAUGGAACACAUUGAUACAAAAUCAUGACUGGAAUAAAGAAAUUAACAGAAGCACGAACCGUGCAAUUUAUGACUGUAUAUUAAGUACAAAGAGUUGGCCAACGUACAAAAUGUAUUAUAGCUGCCAUGGCUUAGAUUUACCUCCAAGGCUGUCGU